RNAcentral lists this ribosomal RNA (241 nucleotides) under uncultured bacterium. RNAcentral's name for it is "partial 16S ribosomal RNA". It matches the Rfam family "Bacterial small subunit ribosomal RNA", at positions 77 to 339 of the family's 1533-position model. The record is from RNAcentral.
UUUUUAAAGUGAAAGUGGCGGACGAGCGAGUAACACGUAAGUAGCUGCCCUGUACUCGGGGAUAACUAGUCGAAAGAUUAGCUAAUACCGGAUGGUCUCGAAAGAGUAAAGAUUUAUCGGUACAGGAGGUGCUUGCGGCCUAUCAGUUUGUUGGUGAGGUAACGGCUUACCAAGACUAUGACGGGUACCUGGUGUGAGAGCAUGACCAGGCGCGAUGGGACUGAGACACGGCCCAUACUCC